UAAGGAGACGGGACUUUUUCCCUCCCCCGCCCUUCUCCACGCACCAGUGGAAGACGAGGGAGGAGACGGCUGAGAGAAGAGGAGGAAGGGGGAAAAGUGAGAGAAGCAAGAUGAGAAAGGGGUGUUGAAGGAAGAGAUGAAGGCGAGGAGAGAGAAGUGUUAGGGGUGGUGGCGAGCCCCCGGCGACCGCCCGCCCGCCCGCGCUCGGGACCCAGCCGGGCGCGGCGCCCAAGUCCCGCAGCGCGCAGCCGGCCCGCGGCCCCGCGAGUAGCCCGGACGCGCGGCUCUCCGGCCGGCAGCUGCCGGCGCCCCGCGCGCUAGCGCCCGCCCGCUCCCGGCCCUGGAGCGCCGCUUUCCCCGCUCCGGACUGCUGCGGGGCAGCGCUCCCGGAUGAGCUAAGAAGAGCCAGUGAGAUUAAAGUAGACUGUGAGCCUUUGGCGGACUUGUCACAAGAACAGGAACUUGAGGAGGCAGAGUGGUGAUGAAAACCGAUCAUUUGAUCUAUCACAAUAUGUUCACUAAAUAUCGAUUGAGUGUCCACUGAUGCAUGGCACUGGAAAACCAUUCCAAAAAGAUAGAAAGAGGAAAAAUUUGUUUUCAUUUUCAAUUUUUAUUAAAAAGGCAGGAAGCCAUCAAAAUCCUCCAGGAGAAAGCAGGCAAAAACCUCUUCAACCUUGGCCGCAACAAAUUCUUAUUCUCCAUGUCUCUAGAGGCAAGGGAAACAAAAGAAAAAAUGAACUAUUGGGACCUUAUCAACAUAAAAAGCUUCUGCACAGUGAAGGAAACCAUCAGCAAAACUAAAAGACAACUGAUGGAAUAGGAGAAGAUAUUUGCAAAUGGCAGAUAAAGGGUUAGUAUCUAAAAUCUAUAAAGAACUUAUCAAACUCAACACCCAAAAAACAAAUAAUCCAGUGAAGAAAUGGGCAAAAGACAUGAAUAGAUACUUCUCCAAAGAAGACAUCCAGAUGGCCAACUGACACAUGACAAAAUGCACAAUAUCAUUCAUCAUCAGGGAAAUACAAAUCAAAACCACAAUGAGAUACCGCCUCACACCUGUCAGAAUGGCUAAAGUUAACAACUUAGGCAACAACAGAUGUUGGCGAGGAUGCAGAAAAAGGAUCUCUUUUGCAUUGUUGGUGGGAAUGCAAGCUGGUGCAGCCACUCUGGAAAAUAGUAUGGAGGUUCCUCAAAAAAUUAAAAACAGAACUACCCUAUGACCCAGCAAUUGCACUACUAGGUAUUUAUCUAAGGGAUACAGGUAUGCUGUUUCAAAGGGACACACACACCCCAAUGUUUAUAGCAGUACUACCAACAAUAGCCAAGUAUGGAAAGAGCCCAAAUGUCCAUCGAUGGAUGACUGGAUAAAGAAGAUGUGGUAUAUAUACACAAUGGAGUAUUAUGGGCAAUCAAAAAGAAUGAAAUCUUGUCAUUUGCAACUACAUGGAUGGAACUAGAGGAUAUUAUGCUAAGCGAAAUUAGUCAGUCAGAGAAAGACAAAUAUCCUAUGACUUCACUCAUAUGAGGACUUUAAGAUACAAAACAGAUGAACAUAAGGGAAAGGAAGCAAAAAUAAUAUAAAAACAGGGAGGGGAACAAAACAUAAGAGACUCUUAAAUAUGGAGAACAUACAGAGGGUUAC
Molecule: long non-coding RNA, 1639 nt
Organism: Neofelis nebulosa (Clouded leopard)
Lineage: Eukaryota; Metazoa; Chordata; Mammalia; Carnivora; Felidae
Exons: 4
Source: RefSeq, a predicted model, not a curated record